AUUGCCCGCUUUCUUUCGUCCUAACACAUGCAAGUCGAACGGCAGCACAGUAAGAGCUUGCUCUUACGGGUGGCGAGUGGCGGACGGGUGAGGAAUACAUCGGAAUCUACUUUUUCGUGGGGGAUAACGUAGGGAAACUUACGCUAAUACCGCAUACGACCUACGGGUGAAAGCAGGGGAUCUUCGGACCUUGCGCGAUUGAAUGAGCCGAUGUCGGAUUAGCUAGUUGGCGGGGUAAAGGCCCACCAAGGCGACGAUCCGUAGCUGGUCUGAGAGGAUGAUCAGCCACACUGGAACUGAGACACGGUCCAGACUCCUACGGGAGGCAGCAGUGGGGAAUAUUGGACAAUGGGCGCAAGCCUGAUCCAGCCAUACCGCGUGGGUGAAGAAGGCCUUCGGGUUGUAAAGCCCUUUUGUUGGGAAAGAAAAGCAGCAGGUUAAUACCCCGCUGUUCUGACGGUACCCAAAGAAUAAGCACCGGCUAACUUCGUG
This 492-nucleotide ribosomal RNA is filed under the name uncultured bacterium. RNAcentral's name for it is "partial 16S ribosomal RNA". It matches the Rfam family "Bacterial small subunit ribosomal RNA", at positions 34 to 507 of the family's 1533-position model. The record is from RNAcentral.